Molecule: unclassified non-coding RNA, 337 nt
Filed under: soil metagenome
Description: partial contains 5.8S ribosomal RNA, internal transcribed spacer 2, and large subunit ribosomal RNA
Rfam family: 5.8S ribosomal RNA (bases 1-120)
Source: RNAcentral
GAUGAAGAACGUAGCGAAAUGCGAUAAGUAAUGUGAAUUGCAGAAUUCAGUGAAUCAUCGAAUCUUUGAACGCACAUUGCGCCCGCCAGUAUUCUGGCGGGCAUGCCUGUUCGAGCGUCAUUUCAACCAUCAAGCCCCCCGGCUUGUGUUGGGGACCUGCGGCUGCCGCAGGCCCUGAAAAGCAGUGGCGGGCUCGCUGUCACACCGAGCGUAGUAGAUCUCAUCUCGCUCAGGGCGUGCUGCGGGUUCCGGCCGUUAAACCACCCUCAUAACCCAAGGUUGACCUCGGAUCAGGUAGGAAGACCCGCUGAACUUAAGCAUAUCAAUAAGCGGAGGA